AAUUGACGGGGGCCCGCACAAGCGGUGGAGCAUGUGGUUUAGUUCGAGGCAACGCGAAGANCCUUACCAGCUUUUGACAUCCCGGUCGCGGUUAGCAGAGAUGCUUUCNUUCAGUUCGGCUGGACCGGUGACAGGUGCUGCAUGGUUGUCGUCAGCUCGUGUCGUGAGAUGUUGGGUUAAGUCCCGCAACGAGCGCAACCCUCGCCUUUAGUUGCCAGCAUUUAGUUGGGCACUCUAGAGGGACUGCCGGUGAUAAGCCGGAGGAAGGUGGGGAUGACGUCAAAUCAUCAUGGCCCUUACGGGCUGGGCUACACACGUGCUACAAUGGCGGUGACAGUGAGCAGCCACUCAGCAAUGGGGAGNUAAUCUCUAAAAGCCGUCUCAGUUCGGAUUGUUCUCUGCAACUCGAGAGCAUGAAGUUGGAAUCGCUAGUAAUCGUGGAUCAGCAUGCCACGGUGAAUACGUUCCCGGGCCUUGUACACACCGCCCGUCACACCAUGGGAGUUGGUUUUACCCGAAGACUGUGUGCUAACUUAGGAGNCAGCAGGCCACGGUAAGGUCAGCGACUGGGGUGAAGUCGUAACAAGGUAGCCG
RNAcentral lists this ribosomal RNA (594 nucleotides) under uncultured bacterium. RNAcentral's name for it is "bacterial SSU rRNA". It matches the Rfam family "Bacterial small subunit ribosomal RNA", at positions 908 to 1502 of the family's 1533-position model. The record is from RNAcentral.